This 468-nucleotide ribosomal RNA is filed under the name uncultured bacterium. RNAcentral's name for it is "partial 16S ribosomal RNA". It matches the Rfam family "Bacterial small subunit ribosomal RNA", at positions 28 to 507 of the family's 1533-position model. The record is from RNAcentral.
GACGAACGCUGGCGGCGUGCUUAACACAUGCAAGUCGAACGGAAAGGCCCUGCUUUUGUGGGGUGCUCGAGUGGCGAACGGGUGAGUAACACGUGGGUAACCUGCCCUUGACUUUGGGAUAACUUCAGGAAACUGGGGCUAAUACCGGAUAGGAGCUCCUGCUGCAUGGUGGGGGUUGGAAAGUUUCGGCGGUUGGGGAUGGACUCGCGGCUUAUCAGCUUGUUGGUGGGGUAGUGGCCUACCAAGGCUUUGACGGGUAGCCGGCCUGAGAGGGUGACCGGCCACAUUGGGACUGAGAUACGGCCCAGACUCCUACGGGAGGCAGCAGUGGGGAAUAUUGUACAAUGGGCGGAAGCCUGAUGCAGCAACGCCGCGUGCGGGAUGACGGCCUUCGGGUUGUAAACCGCUUUCGCCUGUGACGAAGCGUGAGUGACGGUAAUGGGUAAAGAAGCACCGGCUAACUACGUG